This 421-nucleotide ribosomal RNA is filed under the name Anolis tropidonotus. Its description in RNAcentral is "partial 16S ribosomal RNA". It matches the Rfam family "Bacterial large subunit ribosomal RNA", at positions 1978 to 2594 of the family's 2925-position model. Lineage: Eukaryota; Metazoa; Chordata; Lepidosauria; Squamata; Anolidae. The record is from RNAcentral.
AAAUUAAGACCCGUAUGAAUGGUUAAAUGAAUAUUUAACUGUCUCCUUUAACUAAUCAGUGAAACUGAUCUUUCAGUACAAAAGCUGAAAUAAUAACAUAAGACGAGAAGACCCCGUGGAGCUUAAAACUUUUAACAAAAUAUUAUAAAGCACAUAUUUAUGCCAUAAAGUUUUUAGUUGGGGCGACUUUGGAGCAAAACCCAACCUCCAAGAAAAGGCACCGCCUACACCAAGGCCCACAAGCCAAACUACAAAGACCCAGUAUCAAAUACUGAUCAACGAACCAAGUUACCCCAGGGAUAACAGCGCCAUCUUCUUCAAGAGUUCAUAUCGACAAGAAGGUUUACGACCUCGAUGUUGGAUCAGGACACCCAAAUGGUGCAGCCGCUAUUAAAGGUUCGUUUGUUCAACGAUUAAUAGU